AGGGGCGUGCUCUCUACUACAUAUCAAAGGCCUUUACAACUGCUGCCUCAAAGUCAGAGAAGAUAGGAUAUGUUAUUACUAUGUCACAACUAAUCUGUUACUGAGAGGUCACUUGGCAUUUAUGCAGCUAGCACCAGCCCCACCACCGCCACCAUUUCCAGAAGGCUACAUCCCCCUCACGAACACAGAAUCGGAAAAUGACCCUAAAACCCAGCAAACGGGGGAGGCACAACCACCUCCCAUUGACCCCAUGAUUGAUCAAGGCCUAGCUAAAAGAAUGAAAUUCUGAAUAAGAGGUGUCGCAUCAUAAGUUAUCUGUCCAGAAGUAUAUAUGUAAAGAUCUGAAGCUAAUUUAAUCACUACAACUUUAAAUAUCCGCUAACCCCUAGGCCUUUUUCAGUUGUGGUAAAUAUCUGAAGCUAAGCUAAGUUAAUCACUACAACUUCAUAUAUGUUGUGGUAGUUUUCACUUCAGUUGUUUUUCAGAGUGAGUACAAGGACAAGAAGAAGAAAUAUAUGAUGUUGGACAAUGAAUUUAGUGUUUUAUUUUAUUUGUAAUUUUUAUUAGAGUAAAUGAUUCUUUGUAAAUACUUUGUAUAAGUUUUGUUAUUUUAAUCUAUAAUUUUUUAGAUUUGUAUAUAAA
This is a long non-coding RNA of Humulus lupulus (European hop), 642 nucleotides long. RefSeq lists it as uncharacterized. The record is from RefSeq and is a predicted model, not a curated record. Lineage: Eukaryota; Viridiplantae; Streptophyta; Magnoliopsida; Rosales; Cannabaceae. The transcript is spliced from 2 exons.